RNAcentral lists this ribosomal RNA (497 nucleotides) under uncultured bacterium. RNAcentral's name for it is "partial 16S ribosomal RNA". It matches the Rfam family "Bacterial small subunit ribosomal RNA", at positions 28 to 507 of the family's 1533-position model. The record is from RNAcentral.
GAUGAACGCUGGCGGCGUGCCUAAUACAUGCAAGUCGAGCGAACAGACGAGGAGCUUGCUCCUCUGACGUUAGCGGCGGACGGGUGAGUAACACGUGGAUAACCUACCUAUAAGACUGGGAUAACUUCGGGAAACCGGAGCUAAUACCGGAUAAUAUAUUGAACCGCAUGGUUCAAUAGUGAAAGACGGUUUUGCUGUCACUUAUAGAUGGAUCCGCGCCGCAUUAGCUAGUUGGUAAGGUAACGGCUUACCAAGGCAACGAUGCGUAGCCGACCUGAGAGGAUGAUCAGCCACACUGGAACUGAGACACGGUCCAGACUCCUACGGGAGGCAGCAGUAGGGAAUCUUCCACAAUGGGCGAAAGCCUGACGGAGCAACGCCGCGUGAGUGAUGAAGGUCUUCGGAUCGUAAAACUCUGUUAUUAGGGAAGAACAAAUGUGUAAGUAACUAUGCACGUCUUGACGGUACCUAAUCAGAAAGCCACGGCUAACUACGUG